GACGAACGCUGGCGGCGUGCUUAACACAUGCAAGUCGAGCGGAAAGGCCCUGCUUGCACGGUACUCGAGUGGCGAACGGGUGAGUAACACGUGGGUGUUCUGCCCUUCACUUCGGGAUACGCCUGGGAAACGGGGCUUAUUCCGCGUUAGUCGUCAUUGUUAGUGUGAUGGUUGGUAAGUUUUUUCGGUGUAGGAUGAGCUGGCGGCCUAUAAGCUUGUUGGUGGGGUAAUGGCCUACCAAGGCGGCGACGGGUAGCCGGCCUGAGAGGGUGAACGGCCAUACUGGGUCCGAGGGAAGGCCCAGGUGCCGACUGUUGGAAGCAGGGGGGAAGCCUGAUCAAGGGGUGCAAGGCGGGUGCAGAGGGGCCGCGGGGGGUAUAACGGUCUUAGGUGUGUAAAAGCGUUGCGAGAGGGACGAAGCCUUUUGUGACGGUACCUAGAGAAGAAGCACCGGCUAACUACGUG
RNAcentral lists this ribosomal RNA (465 nucleotides) under uncultured bacterium. RNAcentral's name for it is "partial 16S ribosomal RNA". It matches the Rfam family "Bacterial small subunit ribosomal RNA", at positions 28 to 507 of the family's 1533-position model. The record is from RNAcentral.